AGGAUGAACGCUAGCGACAGGCUUAACACAUGCAAGUCGAGGGGCAGCACAGGUAGCAAUACCGGGUGGCGACCGGCGCACGGGUGAGUAACGCGUAUGCAACUUGCCUAUCAGAGGGGGAUAACCCGGCGAAAGUCGGACUAAUACCGCAUGAAGCAGGGGCCCCGCAUGGGGAUAUUUGCUAAAGAUUCAUCGCUGAUAGAUAGGCAUGCGUUCCAUUAGGCAGUUGGCGGGGUAACGGCCCACCAAACCGACGAUGGAUAGGGGUUCUGAGAGGAAGGUCCCCCACAUUGGUACUGAGACACGGACCAAACUCCUACGGGAGGCAGCAGUGAGGAAUAUUGGUCAAUGGGCGUAAGCCUGAACCAGCCAAGUCGCGUGAGGGAUGAAGGUUCUAUGGAUCGUAAACCUCUUUUAUAAGGGAAUAAAGUGCGGGACGUGUCCCGUUUUGUAUGUACCUUAUGAAUAAGGAUCGGCUAACUCCGUGCCAGCAGCCGCGGUAAUACGGAGGAUCCGAGCGUUAUCCGGAUUUAUUGGGUUUAAAGGGUGCGUAGGCGGCCUUUUAAGUCAGCGGUGAAAGUCUGUGGCUCAACCAUAGAAUUGCCGUUGAAACUGGGGGGCUUGAGUAUGUUUGAGGCAGGCGGAAUGCGUGGUGUAGCGGUGAAAUGCAUAGAUAUCACGCAGAACCCCGAUUGCGAAGGCAGCCUGCCAAGCCAUUACUGACGCUGAUGCACGAAAGCGUGGGGAUCAAACAGGAUUAGAUACCCCCUGGUAGUCCACGCAGUAAACGAUGAUCACUAGCUGUUUGCGAUACACUGUAAGCGGCACAGCGAAAGCGUUAAGUGAUCCACCUGGGGAGUACGCCGGCAACGGUGAAACUCAAAGGAAUUGACGGGGGCCCGCACAAGCGGAGGAACAUGUGGUUUAAUUCGAUGAUACGCGAGGAACCUUACCCGGGUUUGAACGCAUUCGGACCGAGGUGGAAACACCUUUUCUAGCAAUAGCCGUUUGCGAGGUGCUGCAUGGUUGUCGUCAGCUCGUGCCGUGAGGUGUCGGCUUAAGUGCCAUAACGAGCGCAACCCUUGCCACUAGUUACUAACAGGUAAAGCUGAGGACUCUGGUGGGACUGCCAGCGUAAGCUGCGAGGAAGGCGGGGAUGACGUCAAAUCAGCACGGCCCUUACAUCCGGGGCGACACACGUGUUACAAUGGCGUGGACAAAGGGAAGCCACCUGGCGACAGGGAGCGAAUCCCCAAACCACGUCUCAGUUCGGAUCGGAGUCUGCAACCCGACUCCGUGAAGCUGGAUUCGCUAGUAAUCGCGCAUCAGCCAUGGCGCGGUGAAUACGUUCCCGGGCCUUGUACACACCGCCCGUCAAGCCAUGGGAGCCGGGGGUACCUGAAGUCCGUAACCGCGAGGAUCGGCCUAGGGUAAAACUGGUGACUGGGGCUA
RNAcentral lists this ribosomal RNA (1452 nucleotides) under uncultured organism. Its description in RNAcentral is "SSU rRNA". It matches the Rfam family "Bacterial small subunit ribosomal RNA". The record is from RNAcentral.